CCCUUAGAUGUUCUGGGCCGCACGCGUGCUACACUGAGUAAUUCAAUGGGUAAGGGAACGCUAGAGCAUUACCUAAUCUUGAAAUUUGCUCGUGAUGGGGAUCGACGGUUGCAAUUUUCCGUCGUGAACGAGGAAUACCUUGUAGGCGCAUGUCAUCAUCAUGCGCCGAAUACGUCCCUGCCCUUUGUACACACCGCCCGUCGCUCCUACCGAUUGAAUGAUCCGAUGAAUAUCAUGGAUUGAGGAUGCAAGUAGGUUAGCCUAUCUUCAUCUUCGAGAAGUGAAGUAAAUCUUAUCAUUUAGAGGAAGGAGAAGUCGUAACA
This 323-nucleotide ribosomal RNA is filed under the name uncultured eukaryote. Its description in RNAcentral is "partial 18S ribosomal RNA". It matches the Rfam family "Eukaryotic small subunit ribosomal RNA", at positions 1470 to 1796 of the family's 1831-position model. The record is from RNAcentral.